UUACAAAGCACUUUGGCUAUGUUUAUUUACAUUGUUUCCACUGUUACAAUGACAACACAUACAUGUUUAAGUGUGGUUUAACAAAAAUUCUUGAUGCUGCUGUUAGGGAGAAAUCAGGCCAAGCCUUAGCUUCCAAAGGCUGAUGGGCUUUUUCUUUUCCAGAAUUCUUAUCUUAAUGCAUUAGUAGUGUGCCUUCAUGAUAUUGCUUACUUGUAAAUAUAAUCCUAUGUCAAGGAUUUGGAGACCAAAAGAAGUAGAGCACCAGUUUUUGUAAACUUUACACAUAUUUCUUGGCCUUUAUACUAUUUCUCUAAUAGAGUUCACAAAUGGAAGGUCCUGACAUAAAAGUGCCCUACAAAUAUGUGUGGUUGGGCCUGUGUGGUGUUGCCUUUCACUUAAAAAUUUUUUUUAAUUAUCCUCUAAGAUUUAAAAGUUAGGGAAUUUCAUUUUCGACUUCCAUAUCUUCUUGAAAAAUGCAGCAAGCUCACUAACAAUAGACCCAAAUUCCCACAGGGCAGCAAUGACCUCUGGCUGGCUGGCCCUUGCUGCUGGCUCACCUCUCACCCCUCCUGACCUCCACAGAUCCAAGCCAAAGUUGGUUGCAGUCCAUCACAUGACUCACGCAGUAGUUUGUCUCUCAUCUUCCCACCUCCCUCACAUGGCUUGACCAGGCAGCUUCCUGGAGGUAUCUGAAUUUGCAGCUCCUAUCCUUAAUUGUAAACAUAAUAAUAGUGAACCCUUCCAUAGUACUUAGUGGGCCAGACACUGUCCUAUGUCUUUAACAUGCAUCAGCUUAUUUAGUCUUCAGAAUAACCCGAGACAGUGGACACUAUCAGCAUCCCCAUUUUAGGGACUAGGAAAUUGAGACAUCAAGGAGUCUAGAACUCACCCAUGGCAACACACAUUUCAUCUGCAGGGGUAUCUGGCUCAUGAGCAGGCCCAGUCUGGAACCUGCAGACCCAACCAUUAGAAUUUAUUUCCAGGGCGGCCCCGGUGGCUCAGGGGUUUAGCGCCGCCUUUAGCCCGGGGCAUGAUCCUGGAGACCUGGGAUGAGUCCCAGGUCAGGCUCCCUGCAUGGAACCUGCUUCUCCCUCUGCCUCUCUCUCUCUCUCUCUCUCUCUCUCUCUCUCUCAGUCUCUCAUGAAUAAAUAAAUAAAAUCUUUAAAAAAAAAAAAGAAUUUAUUUCCAUAUGUAUUGGAAGGCUCUUCACAAGUACAUCAACAGUUUUAAAUUCUGUCCAUUGCAUCUAGAAGACAGUGUCUAGUGAGUGCUAAUUUCUUCUCUGAAACACCUAGGAAUCAAAAUUUUGGGUCCAGAUCUGACCUAAGUAGCCUUUUAAGUCUAUGGCACUUGAUGAGACAAACUGCCCCUUCUCUAAAGCUUUUUGGCUGUCAGGAACUGCUAUCACAAAAUGACACAGGGACGGUUACACGUAUAAAGGCCCCUCUGGAGCUGUGCUGAUUGCCUGCACAAUGCAGUGCUCCCAGGUUCAAGAAUCUGUCUGACUACUUUUCAGAGUAAGACUUAUUUUGGCAUUUGCAAGCGUAUAAAAUAAGCAAAAAUGCUUAAUGAAAAUUACCAUAAAGAUGUAUGUCAAAUACGUAUGUCUUACUCUGAACAACUACCAACCACUCAUUUCAACUUUUCAUUACCAAGCACAAUUCCUCAUUUCAUGAUCAUGAUGAAAAAAAUAUACACUGCCGAUGUUAUCUCGUAUCUCAAAAUUCCAAGAAUCUCAGGCUAUUUCCCUCUGCUUAAGAUUGAACUUGGAGCAGUGAAAGAAGUUCUCUCUUCCAUGGACAUCACAUACCCCACAAAAACUUUACCAUGGAGUGGGGAGCCUUUCAAAUCAGCAUGUCCUUUCAGCAUUUUUCCUUCUCUUUCGAUGUAAGGCUUGAAAAUUAUGAUAAGAGGAGAUCUGCAUUUCUCACGUAUUAUUUAAGUCAAUCCAGAUGUCAGCUCGAUGAUACAGGUUUAUUACGCCCAUAUUAAGACAGGGGAGUGGUAUUUGAAUCCAGGUCCAUCUGAUACCUGUAUUCUGAUGCACUCCACCGUCUCAGUCUCCAGCCCGUGAUCGGCCCUAAAUGCUGGUUAGGUCACUGCUGCAGAAGGCCCUGCCGAGCUCUGGAGGGUCUGCUCUGGAGGGGCCUUCGUCCAGCGCCGCUCACCUGAUGCCCGCGCAGGACAAAGUCCAUCACGAACAGAACAAAUGCAACCUGCCAGCCCGAACUAACUCGGAGUAUAGCACAUUGCAGAGCUGUAUUGGUUCUGUCUUGUUUUUUAGCCGGGGCAGACACAUGCGGGCCGACUUAGGGGCCAGAUGUUGGAGGAGACAGCGAAGGAAGGGAACCGGCGGAGAACCUACGCGGUAAAAUUCUAGUUCUGGAAGGCGCUGGAAGAGGAACCAAUUAACUCAAUAUGCUCCCUACUGAAUGUCAUUAAAAAUACAAUUUGAACUACUGGUCUUCAUCUGAAAACUGAAACAUCCAUCUGAGAGCAUUUAAGACCUCUUAUAAUUCCUUAUUAUUACUAUAAACUGAGUCAAACAAAAAUUUGCUGUUUUCAAAAAUAAAAAUGACCUACAAAAUAAACUUACAGAAGAACACAUGGUGACAUCUCUUUUUAAUUUAUACGGAAUCUGAAUAUUUUGAUAACUUGAAUUUCCACAAGGAAACAAACAAUACUAGGAAAUCCUGAACAGUGUCCCUCGUUUAAAAACCUCAAAUUAGGGGCACCUGGGUGGCUCAGUUGGUUAAGUGUCUGCCUUCAGCUCAGGUCAUGAUCCCAGGGUUCUGGGAUGGAGCACCAUGUCAGGCUCCCCACUUGUGAAGAGCCUGCUUCCCGCUCCCCUUCCUGUUCA
Long non-coding RNA from Nyctereutes procyonoides (raccoon dog), 2860 nucleotides. RefSeq lists it as uncharacterized. The record is from RefSeq and is a predicted model, not a curated record. NCBI's taxonomy places the organism in Eukaryota, Metazoa, Chordata, Mammalia, Carnivora, Canidae. The transcript has 3 exons.